RNAcentral lists this long non-coding RNA (918 nucleotides) under Mytilus galloprovincialis (Mediterranean mussel). The record is from RNAcentral. Lineage: Eukaryota; Metazoa; Mollusca; Bivalvia; Mytilida; Mytilidae.
AUAUCGUUUGUUGCUAAUUUUAUCACAAAAUAUACCUCAGAGGUUUUUUAUCGUUCGGCUGCUGUCCUGUUGACAUAUGUAAAAUAUCUCCAAUAUUAAAAGUCUCUGGAUCAUAGUGGGUGCCAUAUUACCUAUUAUUUUUUUUUCUAAAACGUGCUUUGUAUAUAGAAAUAAGAAGAUGACGUAUGAGUGCCAAAUGAGACAUCCCGCAAAGUGGAAAGGGAUUAAUAUAAGUUGGAAAACUUGUUUCCCAAUCCACUAUAAAUAAAUAUGUUUAAACUAAACUAAAUGAGACAUCUUUCCAACAAAGACAUAAUUUAGUAAAGUAAGCAGUCAUAGGUCCAAUGCUGAAAAGUAAGCUAUUAAUGACCCAAAAAUUACUUGUGUAAAACAAUCCAAACAAAAAAAAAAACAAAAAAAAAACCGGCUCAAUUAAAUAUAUAAAAGGACAAGAAAUCUAUCUCAUCAAAAAAAAAUAUAUUGUAUAGGAGCCUGUAUUUCAGUGGUUGUCGUUUGUUUAUGUGUUACAUAUUUUUUUUUCGUUCAUUUUUUUUAUAUAAUUAGGGACGUUAGUUUUCUCGUUUGAAUUGUUUUACAUUGUCAUUUCGGGGACUUUUAUAGCUUACUAUGCGGUAUGGGCUUUGCUCAUUGUUGAAGACCGUACGGUGAUCUAUAAAUGUUUAUUUCUGUGUCAUUUUGGUCUCUUGUGGACAGCUGUCUCAUUGGCAAUCAUACCACAUCUUCUUUUUUAUUAUAGAUCCAACGCUGCAAUUUUCACAAAACAUAUCAAAUUUUCCAUCUUGUCGCACAUACAUAUGGAUAAAAUCAUUACAGCUUAUUUCCUAAUGCAUGUGGAGCAAAACUUUGGUUAGCUUGCUUGCUUUGUUUGUAUAUUGUACAAAAUAUAAAAUAUACAAG